CAGAUCCAUCCAGGCACAUUUACCUUGUCAUAAUGAGAAUUCAUGUCUCCUGUGCAGCUGACACAUUGCUAUCGUGCUAUGCAGGUUCUCCAAAUAUGUCUGUCAUGUCAUUGUAACAAGCUCUGGAGAUUUCACACUGUUUGUGGCAUCUUUGUACAUCUUGAGGACUCAAUUUGCAUCAGGAAUUCUUUCACUGGAGCUGAUGCAAGCACCUGCUACUGAGAGGAUAACAACAACUUACCUAGAGUCAGUCAUGUGAGCUCUUGGCCAGCCAUCCCAACCAAGGCCCUCUCUAAGAGUCUGUCCUCCCAGAAACUCUAGAAGAAUCCUUGGGGCAGCUGUCUAUCUCAAACAACCCAGUGGAACAGAAUGAAUCUCAUACAAGAAGUUUUGGUUCAUAUGGAAGGGCAUGGCUGAAGCUGCUUAGUGUAAACCUGUGAUCCUGGCUUGUUGCUUGCAAUUAAUCCUCUGGUGUCCUUUGGCUCUCAGGGUACUUGUGUGGUCUGUUCACAUAUUGUUUCAAGGAAAAAUAACACAGCAUCAGGAGGAAAGACAUGGGGCCUGUCUCUGCCAACCUUGCUUUGCCCUUGUUCCAACUAAGCUAUGUGAUAGGAUCAAUGCCAAUUUGUUGUCUUUUUGAACUCAUUUUCAGUAGGAUUCUGAACAAAAUUA
Molecule: long non-coding RNA, 672 nt
Organism: Cyanistes caeruleus (blue tit)
Lineage: Eukaryota; Metazoa; Chordata; Aves; Passeriformes; Paridae
Source: RefSeq, a predicted model, not a curated record